This 497-nucleotide ribosomal RNA is filed under the name uncultured bacterium. RNAcentral's name for it is "partial 16S ribosomal RNA". It matches the Rfam family "Bacterial small subunit ribosomal RNA", at positions 28 to 507 of the family's 1533-position model. The record is from RNAcentral.
GAUGAACGCUGGCGGCGUGCCUAAUACAUGCAAGUCGAGCGAACAGACGAGGAGCUUGCUCCUCUGACGUUAGCGGCGGACGGGUGAGUACCACGUGGCUAACCUACCUAUAAGACUGGGAUAACUUCGGGAAACCGGAGCUCAUACCGGAUCAUAUAUUGAACCGCAUGGUUCAAUAGUGAAAGACGGUUUUGCUGUCCCUUAUAGAUGGUUCCGCGCCGCAUUAGCUAGUUGGUAAGGUAACGGCUUACCAAGGCAACGAUGCGUAGCCGACCUGAGAGGGUGAUCGGCCACACUGGAACUGAGACACGGUCCAGACUCCUACGGGAGGCAGCAGUAGGGAAUCUUCCGCAAUGGGCGAAAGCCUGACGGAGCAACGCCGCGUGAGUGAUGAAGGUCUUCGGAUCGUAAAACUCUGUUAUUAGGGAAGAACAAAUGUGUAAGUAACUAUGCACGUCUUGACGGUACCUAAUCAGAAAGCCACGGCUAACUACGUG